UUCUCCUUUCAAUUCUAUCCAUCUUUGCCUCACAAAUUUUGACGCUCUGUUGUUAGGUUCAUCCACAUUAAAGACUGUUAUCGCUUCUUGGGGAAUCGACCCAUCAUUAUGUAAUGCCCCUCUUUAUCCCUGAUCAUUUUCUUUGUCUUGGCUCUACAGCUGGAAGGCCGGCGCUCAUCGCUGCAGACUCGUUCGUGAAGGGGACGCGCAGUUCCUGUUUGUGUGAGGUUGCUUUAGAUGACCUGCUGUUAUCUGCAGAGGAACAGCCAGGAACGGGUCAUAAAAUGUCGCAAAUCACUGUCAGAAUUCUGGGCCUUAGCCGGGUCCACAUCCUCUCCCGCAGUGGCUUUUCGCCUUGGUGAACGGUCUACGGGCUGAAACUGUUCGCGUUUCCUCCAAGCUCCUCACGUUGUGCAGUUUGGCCACAGAGUCGAAGCUCUUUUCACCCUGGGUGGGCAACUUGCAAGUGACUUUGUCCUUGUCAAAGCCUCGCCUCGCGCUUCAGCGCCUCCUGGAGCUCUGGCGGACUCGGCGUCCCGAGUCCCAGGAGCUGGGGCUCCAAGCUGGGACAGGGGCGCGAGGCUGGAGGGCGACUGACAACUCGGUCCCCCGGCGGUUCUGCCGCUCGCGCCCAUCGCGGCCGUUAAGGAUGUUGAUUCGUUACCAAACGACCAUCUAGAAAGCCAGCCAUGAUUUAAACUUCCAUCAGAGAUCAUUCAAUUACCGUGGGAGGAUUGGAUCUUACUUUGGAUUGCUCAAUUAUGUCUAUGCAAAGGGCAGGUGGAUCUUGGUGAAUAACGGUGAAUUAUCAACUUACUCGGAUGGUCACUCCAACUUAGCUGCUCUUCAAGAUGUCAUUUCUGUGUUGGAGCAAAGCAACACAUUCUUUGGCGCCUGAUUCUCUUGGGUGCAAGUGACAGAAACUCAUCUCAAGCUAACUGGUUGAAAAGCACUCCCUGGCCUGUGCUACUUGAAUCUUCGAUAUUAGCUGGAAGAGGGGGUCUUGGAGAAGAGAUCAGGAGAAGAUGAUGGGAGGCCAAUACUGGGUCUGGGAGGCGGAGCAAGCCCUGCUGGAGGCCAUCAUUGCUAAUUCAGCAGGGUGCAAGCCGCCAGCCACAGGGACACACUCCUCUUCCCACCUCUGCGUCCAUGACCUGGUCCAGUCUGCCAUCACCACUCGUCUGGAAUGUGGCACUGUUUCCUGGCAUCCAUCUGCUUCUGCCCUUGUCCCCCUAAACGCUUAUCAACACAGGGAUCCUGAGAAAACAUGGCAUCAGCCAAUGUCAGUUCUCUGUGAAAACUCCCCAAUGUCUCCCAUUCCUCUCAGAUUAAAAGUCUUUUAUAGAGGA
Long non-coding RNA from Balaenoptera musculus (blue whale), 1349 nucleotides. RefSeq lists it as uncharacterized. The record is from RefSeq and is a predicted model, not a curated record. The transcript has 4 exons. Lineage: Eukaryota; Metazoa; Chordata; Mammalia; Artiodactyla; Balaenopteridae.